ACGACUCUCGGCAACGGAUAUCUCGGCUCUCGCAUCGAUGAAGAACGCAGCGAAAUGCGAUACUUGGUGUGAAUUGCAGAAUCCCGCGAACCAUCGAGUUUUUGAACGCAAGUUGCGCCCAAAGCCGUCAGGCCGAGGGCACGUCUGCCUGGGUGUCACGCAACAU
RNAcentral lists this ribosomal RNA (166 nucleotides) under Croton thorelii. RNAcentral describes it as "5.8S ribosomal RNA". It matches the Rfam family "5.8S ribosomal RNA". From Rfam's summary of the family: 5.8S ribosomal RNA (5.8S rRNA) is a component of the large subunit of the eukaryotic ribosome. It is transcribed by RNA polymerase I as part of the 45S precursor that also contains 18S and 28S rRNA. The record is from RNAcentral. Lineage: Eukaryota; Viridiplantae; Streptophyta; Magnoliopsida; Malpighiales; Euphorbiaceae.